UAAGCUGUAGCCUAGAGUGGGCAAUGCUUC
RNAcentral lists this non-coding RNA (30 nucleotides) under Mus musculus (house mouse). The record is from RNAcentral. Lineage: Eukaryota; Metazoa; Chordata; Mammalia; Rodentia; Muridae.